RNAcentral lists this long non-coding RNA (2934 nucleotides) under Gallus gallus (chicken). Lineage: Eukaryota; Metazoa; Chordata; Aves; Galliformes; Phasianidae. The record is from RNAcentral.
CUUCCGUUAGAACUGAUGGAGUACAGUUUUAAAUAGCAACGAAGUACACAGUGGUGUAAAAUUGGCACAGAACCUACAAGCAUUUCAUUCAUAAUAAUGCUCCUCAUGCUGUAACUGUUCAAACCUUGAUGUGUAUUUUUUUUAACAGCCAACUUUAAGAAAAUUGUUUUCCCUUAAAUAAAAUGAUGAACAAAACAAAAACCUUGUUUUCUGUCUCUACUGUCAGAUAUCAGGAACAUCUUUUUUUUUUUCUUUUUCUCAACAUGAUCUCCAAUUGAAAAAAUAAGGUUUUAUUCCUGGGCUAAUCGUAAGUUUUGUCUUUCCUAUAAAAAUCACCAGGAAUUCCUGAACGCAUAUAUUCCUGCACAAAAGAAUAUUCACUUAUUUAUCUGAUAUACAGUUGCAGGACAGUCCCCAAACCAAUUUUUUUGUGUACUAUGCUAUUGAUCAAGGUGCUGCCUCUAUCUUACAUGCAACACUAUAAGCGUUAACGCAGUUCAAAACAAAAUUUGGCAUUGACCUCACCAACGGGUUUUUACUUUUUUCUGUUAUAAAACAUCCCUUGGUCUCAUUGUUAACCCAUAAGAAAAAUGGACACGCACAAAAAAUGCCCCCUUUUCUAAAGAUAUUAACUCCCAGUUAGGAAAGUUUAGAUAGGUUUUACAAAGUCUUCUAGGCUAUUUUGAUACAUACAAAUUAUAAACUAAAGGUUAAAAUACACUUAUACAAUACAGUCCUGUCCUCCAUAUUCUUUUUCAAAUUCUUUGCAUAUUUAAGCCAGGUAAAAUUAACACUUGUCGUUUUCUUUGUUAUUGCAAUUAUUAAGAGGGAUUACAGCUUGCUUAUGCAAAGCUGUGACAAAACACUUGAGAAAUACAACCCAAACGUUUAUCUUGUUACCCCAAAAAAUGCUGCAGAAAAUUGUCAAACUAUGUUAGAAAUAGUUUUUACAAAAAUGCUUCACUCAGAAAAAUUGGAAAGCUUAAAAAAUUAAUCUUUGCACAAGACUAUAUUAUACCGUCCUCAAUUAUGUUCCCAUUUAGAUAACUGGGAUUCUCAUUCUUUGUACAUGAACCUAUCAGUGACGUACGAUGCUCUUCAUCUUUUUUCACUGUUAUCUUUAUUGUACACCAUUUUGAGACUUACAGAAUCAAGCACUUAUCAUGACCCUACCCCUUUUUAACAGUAGAUUUCUUAUCCUGUCCAGCGAGUAGUGUACUGUCUUGCAUAUUCACCACAUGAAAAACAUAAUAUACAAAAUAUUGCUGCUGUAAAAAGUGUGCAUAUCCCCUUCCCCCUACAAAAAAAAUCUGUGGAAAAAAUAUUAAAUUCCCAUAACCUUCAUAAACAUACAAAGCUGUUCGCACCUUUCAGUCUGUAACAGUCUAUUUGAUAUACAGUUCUCAACUCACUGCAAAUUGCUAUGUCACGUAUUUUCUGUCCAAUAUUGCCAUCUAGAGUAGAGAUGUGAAAUCAGCUUCUGAGAAUCUACAGUCUUUAACAAUUAACCCAUGAAGACCGUAUACUGUAAAACAGCCACAAGAUUUUUUUCCAAGAACUAGAUGGAAUGGGAGGUUUUCAUCUCAGGAAGAUGUCCACAGUGCUGAGAAGACAAUAUGGCUGCUAAUAGAUAUUGCCUACCGGAAUGUGAAUACUUUUCACUGUUGGUAAUUUCCAUACUGACCCUGGUCAUAUCCGUAAGGCCUCUGCUGUGGUGGCUGUGGUGGCCCAGGCUGUGUGGGUCUGUAUCCCCCAUACUGCUGGCCUUGUCCUUGUGGAUAAUUGGGAUACUGAGGUCCGGGGCCACCCUGGGAAGGGCCAUAACCCUGCUGUUGUCCAGGAUAGCCUUGUUGGCCUGGAUAUUGCUGCUGUUGUGGUGGGUAACCCUGUUGUUGGGGUGGUCCUUGAUAUGCAUCUUGCUGCUGACCAUAUUGUGAGUUUCCAUCAGGGUAAUAUUGCUGGUUCAUGCCUUCUGGAGGACCUUGUCCACCAUGACUGUAUUGGUCCCCAUAAUAGUCUUCCUGGCCUGAGUACUGCUGUGGUGGGCCUUGCUGUGGCGGUCUGUAUGGAGGAAUCUGUCUCUGACCCAUCAUGUGAUUGCCUUGAUUAACUUGGCCCAUCAUUCCCAUAGGUGGUUGCUGUCCUUGGUAAUGCUGGCCACCAGCUUGUGGCAUGUUGUAUUGCUGGGAAGGAGGCUGCUGGUGCAUCAUUGGACCUUGGUUUGGUUGCAUGUUCAUGUUUGGUCUGGGACCAUAGUUUCCCAUUGGCUGUCCCUGGCUCAUGGUCAUCUGAUUCUGCACUGGCAUACUCUGUGAGGAUGGCACUGAGUGAUUAUAGCCGCCCAUCGACCCAUGGCUACUUGAAGGCAUGUUCAUGGAACUGUUUGUCAUAUUGAGUUGGUUAGGUCCAGGUCCUUGCAUAGGCAUAUGGUUAGGUCCAGGCAUCUGGCCGUUCAUCUGGUUCUGCAUGUGUGGCGCAGGAGGGCCCCCACCUACCAGUCCAUCUGAAGACAUGUUGUGCGAGCGCGGGGGCGGAGGGGGGCCGCUCUGACUCAUCCCUCCUGGACCCAUAGGCAUAUUCUGUGUGGGUGGUGCUGGUAGCAGAGACUGCAUGUUCUGGUUGGAGUCAGCUAUAGUAGCUAGAUAAACCAAGUUUGUGUGUAGCAUCUGCUGGUAUUGAGAGCAUUCAGAUGUCUUUCCUUUGUUUUGGUAGUCCAUUAUACACUGAAUAAGAUGGUUAUUUUCAUCCAGCAUCUUCUGGAUGGCGGCCGGCGUGAUCUCGCCUUUCCCCCGCUGCCGGGGGGCCGCGAACGCCACCGACAUGUCGCACCGCUGCCGCCAGCAGGGCCCAACCCGCGCCCGCCCGCUCACGCGCACCCCGCGGUGGCGGGAGGCGGCCGCGAUCCGAGAACAGAGCUGCGCGGGGGGCGGGGCG